RNAcentral lists this ribosomal RNA (223 nucleotides) under uncultured bacterium. Its description in RNAcentral is "partial 16S ribosomal RNA". It matches the Rfam family "Bacterial small subunit ribosomal RNA", at positions 328 to 539 of the family's 1533-position model. The record is from RNAcentral.
ACGCUCGACACCUACGGAGGCAGCAGUAGGGAAUCUUCCACAAUGGGCGCAAGCCUGAUGGAGCAACACCGCGUGAGUGAAGAAGGGUUUCGGCUCGUAAAGCUCUGUUGUUGGAGAAGAACGUGCGUGAGAGUAACUGUUCACGCAGUGACGGUAUCCAACCAGAAAGUCACGGCUAACUACGUGCCAGCAGCCGGCGGUAAUCUGAGCGGGCUGGCAAGGC